Molecule: transfer RNA, 67 nt
Filed under: Torleya mikhaili
Lineage: Eukaryota; Metazoa; Arthropoda; Insecta; Ephemeroptera; Ephemerellidae
Description: tRNA-Ser
Source: RNAcentral
AAGAUAUAAAGUUAUAUUAGGGGGCCGCUAACCUUCUUUUUAGCAGUUAAAUUCUGUUAAUAUCUUU